CCCUUGUUCCCUGGGACAGAUCCCGGCCCUCCCCCGGCUCCUCCCUCCCGUCGGGGAGUUGGAGAGACUGAGAAGGUCCCCCCUGAUCUCCCCCAGCUCCCUCAGCCGCUCCCAAUGCUCCAACCCCUUCCCCAGCUCCCCUGCCUUCCUCUGGACACAUACAGCCCAUUUUCAGUUCCGAGGGACAAAAACCCGCAAAAAGAACCAACAAGGCGGUGGGAUUUUUGGGUUCCCCCCGACCCUUACUCUUACACUCCCCCUCGCCCCGCCCGACAUCCCCCCAGCAGCCGCCGGGGCCGCCCCGCCUGAGGCGGGUGGAGCGCUGAGGAGACGGAGCCCCUGAGGAGGGGAACCGGCACCCCCAGCCGAGGAGAAGGAGGCUUUUUCACAAGAAAGAAAGAAAGAGACGAUGAUGUGCUCAAAACCCAAGGACACGAACGCAAGCAGAAGUACGAGGAGUUUUGACUGCGCUUAGAGAGAAAAUUGGGAGUGAAUGGUCAAGCAUUUUGUCAAUAAUGCAGCGAGACAUCAGUACAACGGGAUCACACAGCACAGGGCACAGCUCUGAAGUGCAGGUUUCCCACUGCAGACACUGCUACAGUAAUGUAUAUAGUCCAGUCUGUACACUGCACUGUAUAAUACAGGAGUUAUUUUAUCCACACUGACCUUGCUGUUUCCAGGAACUGCAGCCUCCACAUCUUUGGCUGUUGUUGCCCUUGAAAACUACCAGGAGCACUGGACAGAUAGUACAUGUUGGCUCUCCCUGUACUGAAUUUGAGGGCAUUUCUGCAUCACAGAUAAAAUAAAUUGUGCUAAAAGA
Molecule: long non-coding RNA, 820 nt
Organism: Neopelma chrysocephalum (saffron-crested tyrant-manakin)
Lineage: Eukaryota; Metazoa; Chordata; Aves; Passeriformes; Pipridae
Exons: 2
Source: RefSeq, a predicted model, not a curated record